Molecule: long non-coding RNA, 1797 nt
Organism: Pseudophryne corroboree (corroboree frog)
Lineage: Eukaryota; Metazoa; Chordata; Amphibia; Anura; Myobatrachidae
Exons: 5
Source: RefSeq, a predicted model, not a curated record
CAGCAGCAGCCUUUCCAAAUAGGUCCAUUGUUACGUCAAGUCCAUUCCUAGUCCAGUGUGUUGGUUUCCUCAAUUGCCGUGUGCUGUGCUUAAGAAAGUCCGCUCUCCAGCCUACAUCGGGAACACUGCCUUGCCACCAGCAGCAGCCUUUCCAAAAGGGUCCAUUGUUAUGUCAAGUCCAUUCUUAGUCCAGUGUGUUGAUUUCCUCAGUUGCCGUGGGCUGUGCUUAAGAAAGUCCGCUCUCCAGCCUACAUCGGGAACACUGCCUUGCCACCAGCAGCAGCCUUUCCAAAAGGGUCCAUUGUUACGUCAAGUCCAUUCCUAGUCCAGUGUGUUGGUUUCCUCAAUUGCUGUGUGCUGUGCUUAAGAAAGUCCGCUCUCCAGCCUACAUCGGGAACACUGCCUUGUAUAACCCAUUCUUUGUCCAUUGUGUUGCUGUGCUGAUAUUAAGGAAAUUCGCUCUACCUCCCUCAUCUGGAAUACUGCCUCAGAAGCCACUGUCCCAGUAUUGUCUUCAAUGGAUUAUGCUGAUCCUUCAAAUUGGCCAAAUAAAAUAACUGAUCAAAUACGAAUAAUGUUGUUCGAAAAAGAGCCAGUGCAAUUAGAAAACUUCAAUUUCAAAGUUUCUGAAAAUGGAAGGAGGUUAAAUCCAAGCAUGUACAAACGACAUUUAAUCAAUGGAGAUGUAGUUCAUAGAGACUGGCUUAUUUAUAGUUUCUGAAAAAAUUCAGUUUUCUGCUUCUGUUGCAAACUUUUCAAUUCAGGGGUAAGUGUAAGUCUUCACUUGUAUCUAGUGAAGGUUACGGUGAUUGGAGCAAUAUCUGUAAGAUAUUAUCACAACAUGAGGCAACGCCGUAUCACAUUGGAACUUACCAUUCAUGGGUAGAACUAACACAGCGUUUAAAACUAAACAAGACAAUUUACUCUGAAAACAAACGGCUAAUGUGGGCUGAAACAGAGCAUUGGAGAGAAGUUUUGAAACGUCUACUUUAUAUAGUAGAAUAUUUGAGUAUGCAGUGUUUGCCUUUUAGAGGAACUACAGAUACUCUGCACAAGCACAAUAAUGGAAAUUUCCUAAAACUUGUAGAAUGUAUUUCAAAAUUUGAUAGCGUAAUGUCUGAACAUCUGCGAAGGAUUGCCAAUAGAGAUAAUUACGCCAUUGUUCAUUAUCUAGGAAAGACCAUACAAAAUGAGUUUAUACAGCUUUUGGCAUCUGAGAUAAAAAAACAAAUUUUGAUGGAAAUUAAUGAAGCCACUUAUUAUUCCAUCAUUUUAGACUGUACUCCUGAUAUUUCUCACAUAGAGCAAAUGACAGUAGUAGUUCGCUACGUAAAUAUCAAAGAUGGAAAAGAUAUAUCAAUCCAAGAAAAAUUCAUUGAAUUCUUACCUGUUAAUGUCACAUCGGGUUUAGCUUUAGCAGAAACCAUCAUUGAAGAGCUCUAGCAUUUAAAAAUUCCUUUAAAAAACAUGAGAGGUCAAGGAUACGACAAUGGCUCCAACAUGAAGGGUAAAAAUGUUGGUGUCCGUUAGAACCUACUGAAUUUAUAAUUUGAUAUGCCGCACGUCCUCUACGACAGCCACGCUAUUUGGGUCCCGUGGGAAAGAGCCGGGCUCCUUUCCCUUAUUAUAUAUUAUAGGGAUAGAGCACCUCACUUUGCACAACUGUAUGAAUCUAGGCUAGACGGAGUUGCUUUGGCUUGCUCUGUUUAUGGUUUCUGCUGUCUUUUUGGUUGUUUGGUUUUGUUUUUUGUUUUUUUUCUGGUUCACAGGUGUUUUGUAGGCUUUACUAGGCCUUAU